Vigna unguiculata (cowpea) is the source of this 378-nucleotide long non-coding RNA. RefSeq lists it as uncharacterized. The record is from RefSeq and is a predicted model, not a curated record. NCBI's taxonomy places the organism in Eukaryota, Viridiplantae, Streptophyta, Magnoliopsida, Fabales, Fabaceae.
AACUGUUCCCUCUCACUCACCCUUGAACUCUAGUUAAGGCUCUGCUAGGGCAUAAGUUCCCUUUCCCUCCAACUAGCUACCCUGCUUAAUACUCUCAAUUCUGUAGAUUUAUCCGGAACUCGUUUUCUCUUGCUUGGGUUGCCGUUCUCUGUGUUAGUAUCUAAAAAAGAUGGGAAGCUUGGGGAAGGUGGACCUGACGGUAACAGUGGUGCGGCGUAGAGGGCCCCGUCACCCUUGGCUCUUGGGAGCAGUUUUUAGAUGGCAGUAGUGCUUUUUGUCAUUCCUAGUUCUAGGAGUCUUGAUUGGUGUAACUGUUGAACUUUUGGAUUAUGUUUUGUUUAUGGCAUGGUUGUAUGCCCAGUUUUCAUUGCAAGUACU